This 2320-nucleotide long non-coding RNA is filed under the name Pongo abelii (Sumatran orangutan). Its description in RNAcentral is "lincRNA". The record is from RNAcentral. Lineage: Eukaryota; Metazoa; Chordata; Mammalia; Primates; Hominidae.
AAAUUGGAUGGAAAGAAAUUCUGUAUGCUCCCAGGAUUCCAGUUACUUACAGGAGGUUUAUACCGUCUGAGUCUGAAAAGCUGCCCUCUUGCCGUGUUCAUGCUUUGGUAGAACACCUUCAGAGCCUUGGCAAGCUCUCGGUCAGAGCCGGCUUGCUCUGUGCACAUUUGGCUCAUCUCCCUGGCGGAUGGCAGUUGCGCAGUCAUCCCACUGAUCUUCAGAGUGUUGGAAGGCUUCUGGGCUGAGGUGGAAAAAGGUAACAUUGAUUUAUGUAUCUCUUUCUCUGGGCAUUUCUAUAUUUAUUUAUUUUGGUGGCAUUCUACUACAUCAGCAUUUAUCAGGCACCAGUUUGGAUCCAUCCAAAGGAAAGGGGAAAUCUCACAGGGCAGAAGAAAUGUCCAGCAUUUUUUGUUUAUGAAACAAGAUAUGAAUUAACUCACUUAAAAGUUUGUUUCUUAAAAGACAAAUACACAUCCCAAAUGUAAGAGUCUAGGGAUAAGCUAAACAGCCAAGACUGGAGCAGUCUCUCACCUUGACCAGAAGCAAUUUUCGCGAGUGAUGCUUUGAAAAGCACGUUCUCUUCUCUCAGGGCUGUGUUAAUGUUCCUGAGCAGUUCUGUCUUCUGCUCUAGCUUGAGCAGCUUCAGAUAAAGUUCUGGUAUCUGGUUUGAUGCUGCCUACGAGAAAACAUGUCAAUUUCGUCUUUUGUUGUAUCAUCUGCAUAUCCUUUGAGACUGGCAAUAUUUGCUACCAUGGGAAAAUCAAAUGGGAUGGGAGUGUGUGUAUGGUGAGCAGAGUUUAAGCCCCUGAGGGUACACAGGAGUUUUCAUGCAGUAGGCCAGCGACUGGAGCCAGAUGUGAGCUGAGCCCAAGCGGACGACCUCGACAGGAUCCCAGAAAGGGUCAUCUUCUUGAGCCACAAAGCCGUUAUCUCCAUCUAGAAAGCACUGCUAAAGUUCCUGCAUUAGGAAUUUCCUAUUGAUGAACUUGGCUUUUGACCAUAUCCACACCUGGAAACACAGAGGGGUUCACCAGUGCGCAGCAGAUACAGGAAAACAGCCUGCCGCUGUCUUCCUCCUCACUGGGUGAGAACAGGGCCUCUGUCAACACUGGCCCUGGAGAGGGGACACACCUGAAGCCACAGGAUGAGGGAUUCCAGCUGCCCUCUCCAGCUGGCAGAAGUCGUAAUCGAACCUGCUCAGGUCCUCACUGCCCCGCUCUGAAGGAAACCCCACGUACAGGUGAGGUCGGAGGAGUGAAGUGACUUGCCCAAGACCACACAGCGAGUCAGGAGCAGGCCUGUCCCUCCAGCAGCGGUGCCAUGUUGUCCCCGGGCUGUGGUGGCAGAGGAGCCGGUGUGAACGCCCCAUCCUGCCACGUCUGUGAUGUGGGCACCUCACAUGACUGUCCCCUCACAGCCCUUGGGGGGGACCUAGGACAUUCUGUGAGCCCACAGGAAAGUUUACCAAAUGCUGCAGCUUUGUCCUGGUGGUGAUGGGCACCCCGUUAACGGCAACCUUGCAUUUGCUGUGUGGAGUGACCGUCGCUUUACCGUCGGCAUUUGUGAAGGAAGCGUGUUUAUCUGAAAUUCUAAGAAGACCAGAGUCAGUCUAAGACACCCAGCAAAUGGCGGUUUUCGUGAGCAGGUAGGCUUAUCUUUCUCAUUUGCACAGGAGGGAAGAUCUACAGCUGAGGAGGAUGGCAGGUGGCCUCUCGGGCCUCCUGUGCACUGUGGCCCAUGAUGUAUGGGGACAGCAGCGGGCGCAGGAGGACCCUGCCCUUGGGGAGCACGAGGAGCUGGGAGACAGCAGGCAAGGGCAUUAACAGAACGAACACCAGCUGAGGGCCUAGCGCUGUGGGGAGCCGGCCAAGGCCACACUGGAGUCCUCCCGCUCCCAGACCAGUGGGAUGGGGUGGUGGGAAAAUGGCAGCAAGCAAGCUUCAGGAGAGACACUCAGGAGGCGACUCUUAACGAGCCUCACCUACUCCAGGGUUGGAGCCCAGGAAGCAAACCAGCACUGCACCCUGGAUUUCAGCCAGAGGACGAACGCCCUGCCCUCAGCUUUCUCAGACCAGCCCUGGAGUAAGUGGCCCGGGGAGACCUGGGCAGUGUCCCUGCUUGUCCUGCAGACUGUGUGGCUCUGUAGAUCCCUAGAUGGAGGAGUCACAAUUCUCUAAUGCUGGACGAGGACACUGAUUCAUGGAAGCUCACCCCAAACCUUGAAUCGUGAUAGCAUUUGAGGCAGCCUGACCAGCGUCACAUGAACCUGAAAAGAAUCAAGAUAUGAUUUAUUUUAAAAAUAAAUCAGACACUUUCAGAA